RNAcentral lists this unclassified non-coding RNA (481 nucleotides) under uncultured Kickxellales. Its description in RNAcentral is "sequence contains 5.8S rRNA gene, ITS2, 28S rRNA gene". Lineage: Eukaryota; Fungi; Kickxellomycota; Kickxellomycetes; Kickxellales. The record is from RNAcentral.
AACGCACAUUGCACCGUUUACCUUUGGCUAACGGUAUGCCUGUUUGAGCGUCACUAUAAUAAUCUCUCUUGGCAAUAUUAUUAUUGUUUUGAGGGGAUUUGGAUAAUCCGAGGGUCUUGACGAAGAGUAUUCUCCGUUACGAUACACGGUUAUCUGAAAUAUAGUGACACUAGUCUGACGACGAGAUAAUAGUCUUGGUUACUACUCACUUUAUUGUGAUGUAAUCAUACUUGUCCGUUACGCUAAAUUCACACACCAUUAAGUUAGUGGGCUUAAUAACCCUCCUAAAUGGUUUGAAUGUAAUAGGCUUGUAGUACUAGUAUCGUUUGAGUUGACGGACUAUGACUGGAACUUGCUUUUAUUGUGAGUAAAGGUCGAUGUCAAUAUCCGGGAAACGAAAUAUAUAUAUCUCUCUUUCGAGUAAUAUUUUUCACCUCAACUUUUUGACCUCAAAUCAGGUAGGAAGACCCGCUGAACUUAA